RNAcentral lists this long non-coding RNA (270 nucleotides) under Carica papaya (papaya). Its description in RNAcentral is "long non-coding RNA (CPAP_LNC015485)". The record is from RNAcentral. Lineage: Eukaryota; Viridiplantae; Streptophyta; Magnoliopsida; Brassicales; Caricaceae.
CCAUACUCCGGCGAAGCGGCGGCGAUUCACCUCGGGUUGGCCGCCGAAUUCGACCAUGUUUGCAUCGGUCCCUACGAUAGAACAACCCUAGGGCCCUCGGUGGGCCGAAAAAUCACGAAAAAUCGAAACUUACCGGCGGCGGUGCUCUCGGGUGCGGUGGCUCCUCCGGCGUGAGUCGCGUUUUGAUGUUUGGCUCCGAUCAACCUGUAAAGAAAAGAACGGUGAUCACAGUGGUAUAAAAUUUGCAUCAAACGGAGACCAAGAAGGGCC